CGGGGACUAGGUCAUCGGUAGACCGCUGCUUUCGGGUAGCAGAAGUAGAGAGUUCAAUUCUCUCGUCCCCGA
Molecule: transfer RNA, 72 nt
Filed under: Candidatus Daviesbacteria bacterium
Lineage: Bacteria; Candidatus Daviesiibacteriota
Description: tRNA-Pro
Rfam family: tRNA
About the family: Transfer RNA (tRNA) molecules are approximately 80 nucleotides in length.
Source: RNAcentral